AGAGUUUGAUUAUGGCUCAGAAUGAACGUUGGCGGCGUGGAUUAGGCAUGCAAGUCGAGCGAGAAGUUUUCCUUCGGGAGAAUGGACAGCGGCGAACGGGAGAGUAACAAGUGGAGUACCUACCCUGAGACUCGGGAUAGCCGUGGGAAACCGCGGGUAAUACCGAAUAAUGUCUCCGGACCAAAGGUGUGAUUCCGUCUUGGGAUGGCUCCGCUUCCUAUUAGCUUGUUGGUAAGGUAACGGCUUACCAAGGCAACGAUGGGUACCGGGUGUGAGAGCAUGACCCGGCUCACUGGGACUGAGACACUGCCCAGACACCUACGGGUGGCUGCAGUCGAGAAUCUUCGGCAAUGGGCGCAAGCCCGACCGAGCGACGCCGCGUGCGGGAUGAAGGCCUUCGGGUUGUAAACCGCUGUCAGAGGGGAUGAAAUGCUAUGUGGCAAUCCAUGUAGUUUGACAAAUCCUCAGAGGAAGGACGGGCUAAGUUCGUGCCAGCAGCCGCGGUAAGACGAACCGUCCAAACGUUAUUCGGAAUCACUGGGCUUAAAGGGUACGUAGGCGGCUUGGAAAGUUGGGUGUGAAAUCCCUCGGCUCAACCGAGGAACUGCACUCAAAACUGCCAGGCUUGAGGGAGAUAGAGGUAAGCGGAACUCAGGGUGGAGCGGUGGAAUGCGUUGAUAUCCUGGGGAACACCAGUUGCGAAGGCGGCUUACUGGGUCUCUUCUGACGCUGAGGUACGAAAGCUAGGGGAGCGAACGGGAUUAGAUACCCCGGUAGUCCUAGCUGUAAACGUUGAGCACUAGAUCGGAGGAUUUCGGUUUUCCGGUCGUAGCGAAAGUAUUAAGUGCUC
RNAcentral lists this ribosomal RNA (850 nucleotides) under uncultured Planctomycetota bacterium. RNAcentral's name for it is "bacterial SSU rRNA". It matches the Rfam family "Bacterial small subunit ribosomal RNA", at positions 8 to 869 of the family's 1533-position model. Lineage: Bacteria; Pseudomonadati; Planctomycetota. The record is from RNAcentral.